GAUGAACGCUGGCGGCGUGCCUAAUACAUGCAAGUCGAGCGAACGGACGAGAAGCUUGCUUCUCUGAUGUUAGCGGCGGACGGGUGAGUAACACGUGGAUAACCUACCUAUAAUACUGGGAUAACUUCGGGAAACCGUAGCUUAUACCGGAUAAUAUUUUGAACCGCAUGGUUCAUAAGUGAAAGACGGUCUUGCUGUCACUUAUAGAUGGAUCCGCGCUGCAUUAGCUAGUUGGUAAGGUAACGGCUUACCAAGGCAACGAUGCAUAGCCGACCUGAGAGACGGGUCGCCCACAUUGGAACUGAGACACGGUCCUGACUACUACGGGAGGCAGCAGUAGGGAAUCUUACGCAAUAGGCGAAAGCCUGACGGAGCAACGCCGCGUGAGUGAUGAAGAUCUUCGGAUCGUAAAACUCUGUUAUUAGGGAAGAACAUAUGUGUAAGUAACUGUGCACAUCUUGACGGUACCUAAUCAGAAAGCCACGGCUAACUACGUG
Molecule: ribosomal RNA, 497 nt
Filed under: uncultured bacterium
Lineage: Bacteria
Description: partial 16S ribosomal RNA
Rfam family: Bacterial small subunit ribosomal RNA
Source: RNAcentral